AUGGGGAAACAGACUGAUACAUUCUGUUUAGUUUGUUCUUUCAGGAGUGGAGUCCAUGGACGACUAUGUCUGGAAUCAGCACCUUUGAAUUCCAGACAAUCCAAGAUCCAAGAUGUCAUCCGACACCUUAAAGACUCAGCUCGUUUGGACCAGACUUUAUUAUCCAGAUGGUCUGCAACUGGGUCCAGAUCUGAUGACUGGGAAGGCCGUGUCGUUUUCACACCCGGUGACCCCCUCCUCCUCCUCCUCCUCCUCCUCCCCCUCAUGCCUUGGAAGUGUCUGAUUUUCUUCUGUUUUUCACACAAUUAUUUUGAUUGUUUUUAAAGGCCCAUCUGUCUGUAUUGGGCCUUCAGGACAUUCGGAUUUCAGAGGUUUCUUCCCCGCACAUGAAUGCACCAUAUGCACCUUAUUAUUAUUGUCCCAUCUGGGGGAGGCUGAGGCACAUCAUCAAAGUGUCUGCCUUUGGUCCAAAUCCCCAAACAGGACCUCACAGGACACAGGAUAUGAUUUCCUGGUUUAUUAACAAUAUAAUUAGACUUCGGGGUGGGCAAGGCCAAACCAACAAACAAAGGGAAGUCUGACCAGUGGCCGAGCCAGACAAUUUUCAUCUCAUUCCAUUUUUCUUCUUUAAUUCAUAGUACUAUUAGAAGCUUCCAGUGCUUUUGUAGAUGUUCCUGGACAUCUGCUCUUUGGAGUUGAGCUCCUCUGUUCCCGUUCUUAAUUUCAUCUAACAGAUUUGAUUGCGUCACUGUUUGCAGAGGAAACUAGAAAAGCAUCUGCCCUUCCCCUGGUGGUGCGCGUUUUUUUUUGUUUCCACCUUCUUCUUUCUCAAUAACAAUUUUAUAGCAUUCAUAAAAAAAAAGAAGAAAAAAAAAUCAUUUUUAUUCCAAUGACAUUUUUGGGCAGCAUUCAGACAUAAAUCCAUCAGCUAGUUCAUAUAAAUGGUGUGAAGGGCUGCUGCCCCCAUUGCCAAAAAUUCCUCCUGGAUAGGUAUACAAUAAUUAGACAAAGUGAUCGUGUUCAGCCAGUUUUUAUCGUCUACACACAAGGUUAGCUAUUCAUACCAUGAAGCAGGGAGGAUUUGCAGACCCGACAGAGCAGGACCUGACCAAACCCAACGCCAAAAAACCUGCAGUCGCGUUAAAUCCCUGCAAUUUGCAUCAGAGAUAACUUUUUACAUAUUUGACUGCAUUGUACAAAGCUAACAGUACAAUUAACUAAUCUUCAUCUGUAAUGGAAACAGCAAAUCAGGCCAUAUUUGCACGGAAGCCAUAUUCCUCUGACAUAACACUGUGCUGCUGCAUUCCAGAUUGCUACUGUAAAAAAUGAGGGAAAUAUGACAAAUUGUUAUGAUUUCAUUGCUUCUUGAUUGAGGAAUAAGUGAAAAGACAGUGGAUGGUGAAAAUCUGGAGGGACAUUGGGACAUAUUUCAAGUAUUCACAGUUGCUAUGGCGCCGUACUAGGUGGCAGCCUGUAACAGCAGCUCCCGUGGGUUUUUAAGUUUUUUCGUAGUUUUUGUUGUAUUUCUGUACUGAUUUUCACAGAACUUUUGGCAACUCUUCUCCAGAGAGUGAGAGAAGACGAACACCUUUCUUUUUUUCUUUUUUUAAACUUUUACGGCACUUUUUUUGUGAUGGUUUUGCCAGCCCUAGCAACGGAGGGUCAGGAGCGCAUCACUGAGCGCAUUGUUUACACACGCGACCAGCUGAUUGCACUGUGUGAACCUGCACUGCUGCCCGGAACCAGGCCUGAGGUCCUGAAGGAGCUGCG
RNAcentral lists this long non-coding RNA (1770 nucleotides) under Sparus aurata (gilthead seabream). RNAcentral's name for it is "lncRNA (ENSSAUG00010026159.1)". Lineage: Eukaryota; Metazoa; Chordata; Actinopteri; Spariformes; Sparidae. The record is from RNAcentral.